Long non-coding RNA from Quercus lobata, 1501 nucleotides. RefSeq lists it as uncharacterized. The transcript has 3 exons. The record is from RefSeq and is a predicted model, not a curated record. NCBI's taxonomy places the organism in Eukaryota, Viridiplantae, Streptophyta, Magnoliopsida, Fagales, Fagaceae.
UUACCUCGCCUUUAGGCCUUAGUGCUUGUAAAACCCAUAAAACCGAAAAGAGAAAAAAGGAGGACGUUUCACAGUGUCUGAUCGCAGACACUCACACAGUCAGACUGUAGCUGUUUGAAAGGAAAGAAAUUGAAAUCUGGAAAUAGCAAUCCCUAACCCCGGAGCUCACCAUCACCAUUGUCACCUCCAUGAUGUCGCAUCUUCCGAUAGAGAUAAUCACCGAGAUACUCUCCCGAUUACCAGUGAAGUGUCUCUUACGCUUCCUCUGCAUUUCCAAGUCAUGGUAAGCCCUAAUCAAGCAUCUAGAUUUCAUCAAGUUGCAUCUCCACCGCUCCAUCGAGACUAACAGAGAUCGCACCCUCAUCCUCGAGAAAGUCACUAAUGGUGUGCCUCGUUAUUUCUUCUCCGUCCAUUUCCCAACCGAGAAUCACUUCGACAACGCCUUCAAACUUUAUCAGCCACUAUACUGUCGAGGUAAGCUAGUUCACAUUUUAGACUAUUGCCACGGCUUGGUUUGCAUUCAUCACUGGAUACAUGAAAUUGCGAUUUGGAAUCCAUUGAUCUGAAAGUAUAGGAUAUUACCAACGGAACCAAUAUCGAAAUUUUCUAGUUUCAAGUAUUCUAAAUAUAGCGAAAUAGCAUUUGGGUACGACCUGUGUAAUGACGACUAUAAGGUGUUGAGGGUUAUAGCUUUUUGUAACAGAGGUCAGCCUUUAAAGAAUUUUGAAGUGAAGGUAUAUAGUCUUAGGUCGCAUUCUUGGAGAAAGAUUGAAGAUCAAUGGCCAAAAAAGGAAUGCACAAUAUCUUCUAAUUCGGUGUGGUUGAAUGGAGCGUUGCAUUGGUUAAUAGCUGAGGAUACUCCAUAUGAUACGGAUUCUCCGCUGGGUGCAGAGUGCCUUCUUGCUUUUGAUCUUGCCACCGAGAAAUUCCGGGUCUUUAAAACACCGAUUCAACAAGAAGUUGAGUUGGGGACACGUUUGGAAGUGUUGAAAGGACAACUCUGUUUUAUUGUAAGUCCUGAUAUGGAGGCUGAAAUAGAGCAUGACUAUAAUGAUGUUUGGUUGAUGAAAGAAUAUGGGUUGGACUUGGAUUUAUAAAAUUGAGCGAGGUUCGGUGCCUUGGACUUUCAAAUAUUGCAAACCUUUAAUGUUUUCAGAGAAUGAGAAGAAAGUUUUAUUGGAGAUGCGCCAGUAUAACCAAACAAAACUUGUUUGGUAUGAAAUAGAGAAGAAAAGGUGCGAGAGGGUUAAGAUUCAGAAUUUGCCCAAUUGGUUUAGGACAGCAACUUGUGUUGGGAGUCUUCUUCUGCUUGAUGGUGAUAAUGUGAUUGAUCUGGCAGAGCAGAAGAACAAGAGAAAGAGGAAUUCAUUUUCUAACACAUGCUGGUCUUUGUUUUUGCCAAGAAUGAAAGCCCAUCAGAGGUUCCUAAUCCUAACCUGUUAGGGAAAGCAGUAGAUGAAAAUGAAAAGCAAGAAGGAUAAAAGCAUGCUGGAUACGACUU